RNAcentral lists this ribosomal RNA (253 nucleotides) under uncultured bacterium. RNAcentral's name for it is "partial 16S ribosomal RNA". It matches the Rfam family "Bacterial small subunit ribosomal RNA", at positions 524 to 776 of the family's 1533-position model. The record is from RNAcentral.
UACGAAGGGUGCUAGCGUUGCUCGGAAUUACUGGGCGUAAAGGGAGCGUAGGCGGAUAGUUCAGUCAGAGGUGAAAGCCCAGGGCUCAACCUUGGAACUGCCUUUGAUACUGGCUAUCUUGAGUUUGGGAGAGGUGUGUGGAACUCCGAGUGUAGAGGUGAAAUUCGUAGAUAUUCGGAAGAACACCAGUGGCGAAGGCGACCCACUGGCCCAAUACUGACGCUGAGGCUCGAAAGCGUGGGGAGCAAACAGG